This is a long non-coding RNA of Macaca mulatta (Rhesus monkey), 1231 nucleotides long. RefSeq lists it as uncharacterized. The record is from RefSeq and is a predicted model, not a curated record. NCBI's taxonomy places the organism in Eukaryota, Metazoa, Chordata, Mammalia, Primates, Cercopithecidae.
GGCCUUUUAGAAAAUCUCAUGUCACUUCCUAGUUGGAGCAAUUAAGCAAUAGAGAAGAUGGGUGUUCUGGAACAGAAUUUAAUGAAACAGAACUCCACCAUCUAUGGCAAGUUUGACUGCUUGAGUCUCCAGAGGAUAAGAGUUGGAGGCCACUGAAGCCCAAAUUCAUUAGUCCGGCCAUUGAAGGUCACAAGUGAACAAAGGAGGACGGCAAAGACAGAACUGUGAUACUCAAACACUCAAUAGCUCACAGCGUGGGGGUUCAUUAUGACACUUACUAAGCACAUGCCAUAUUUCUGACACUGUGCUAAGAGUUUCAUGAAUAUUAACUAAAUUAACCUCAUAAAAAUGCCAUUAGAAAGAUGCAAUUUUGUAACCCCUUACACAGAUGAAGAAAAUAAAAUAUGGAGACUUUAAGAAAUUUUCCAGAAGUCUUAUAACUGAUUGGUUUGCUAUGGCUCUUUGAAAUAGUUACUCUUGUCCUCAUUUUAGAGAUGGUGAUACUAAGACAGAAAAUGGCUAGCCUGGACCUCUUUUUGUGGAGACUGGAUUCCAAUACUCAAAGUAGAAGUAUAUGUUUUCUCCAAACAGGGCUUUAAGGCUUCACUUCUGCAACAUUCUAUUGAUGAAAGCAAGUCACAAGACCAGACUGGUUCAAGGGGUGCAGAAAUAGACCCUACUUCUUGACGGAGGGAGCAGUAGAGUUACAUUGCAAAGGGAUCUGGACAAAAAAAGGAGUGAUUUAUCAGGAAUCAUGUUUAACAAUUUACCGCAAUCCCCAGCGCAACUUCCUGUUAGCUGGAUCCAGAAAUGUCUACAACUACUGCAAUGCCAUUUGACCUUAGGGGUGAUGUGACCCAGGGUAAAGAGACGGUAGUCUGAACCCAUCAGUUUAGUUUUGGAAGGUAUAAAAAAUAUGUAACAACAUGAAUGCACUUUUAGGGUCAGACAAGAGUCUUGGAAAGAGUCUGUAAAAGGGAGGAGUCCUGAGGCCUAAACCUCAUGAGUGUCAAUGCUUACCUGUAUCUAGGCACUGGCAAUCCCCCUUUUUGAUAAGGCCAAGAUUGAUUGUUUUCCUUUCCUACCUACUCCAUAUCUAAUUGAUGUGCAAACACUGUUAAUACAAAAAACCCCUAAAUUCAACAAUUUGUGAAGAAUUUUUACACUAACAUGUUGGUUCAAAAACUCAACAUUGCUUGCUAAGACUAUUGCAAUAAACUCCUCUAUGAUC